UGUCAAGUUUCAAAGAGCACACGGUGGAUGCCUUGGCAAUAGGAGCCGAAGAAGGACGUAGCAAUCUGCGAUAAGCCUCGGGGAGCCGAUAAGCGGGCCCUGAUCCGAGGAUUUCCGAAUGGGGAAACCCAGCCAGACUCGAUCUGGUUACUCCUGCCUGAAUGUAUAGGGCAGGUAGAGGGAACGUGGGGAAGUGAAACAUCUCAGUACCCACAGGAAGAGAAAACAACAGUGAUUCCGUUAGUAGUGGCGAGCGAACGCGGAAGAGGCUAAACCAAUCAUGUGUGAUAGCCGGCAGGCGUUGCAUGUUUGGGGUUGUGGGACUUUUCAGCAGUUCUGCCGAUCUGCAAGAGUAGGUAUGUUGUGUAGACGAAUGAUCUUGAACGAUCAGUCAUAGAGGGUGCGAACCCCGUAGUCGAAACGCUGCAGCCGCUCGAGAAGUAUCCCAAGUAGUACGGAACCCGUGAAAUUCUGUGCGAAUCUGCGAGGACCACCUCGUAAGCCUAAAUACUACCUAUUGACCGAUAGCGGACAAGUACCGUGAGGGAAAGGUGAAAAGUACCCCGGGAGGGGAGUGAAAUAG
This 583-nucleotide ribosomal RNA is filed under the name Actinomycetota bacterium. RNAcentral's name for it is "Actinobacteria bacterium partial 23S ribosomal RNA". It matches the Rfam family "Bacterial large subunit ribosomal RNA", at positions 1 to 546 of the family's 2925-position model. The record is from RNAcentral. Lineage: Bacteria; Bacillati; Actinomycetota.